This 481-nucleotide ribosomal RNA is filed under the name uncultured bacterium. RNAcentral's name for it is "partial 16S ribosomal RNA". It matches the Rfam family "Bacterial small subunit ribosomal RNA", at positions 28 to 523 of the family's 1533-position model. The record is from RNAcentral.
GACGAACGCUGGCGGCGUGCUUAACACAUGCAAGUCGAACGGUGAAGGAGAGCUUGCUCUCCGGAUCAGUGGCGAACGGGUGAGUAACACGUGGGCAACCUGCCCCAGACUUCGGGACAACGCUUCGAAAGAGGUGCUAAUACCGGAUACGAACUCCUUGGGCAUCCUUGGAGUUGGAAAGUUUUUCGGUCUGGGAUGGGCCCGCGGCCUAUCAGCUUGUUGGUGAGGUAACGGCUCACCAAGGCGACGACGGGUAGCCGGCCUGGGAGGGCGGCCGGCCACACUGGGACUGAGACACGGCCCAGACUCCGACGGGAGGCAGCAGUGGGGAAGAUUGCGCAAUGGGCGAAAGCCUGACGCAGCAACGCCGCGUGAGGGAUGACGGCCUUCGGGUUGUAAACCUCUUUCAGCAGGGAAGAAGCGAAAGUGACGGUACCUGCAGAAGAAGCACCGGCUAACUACGUGCCAGCAGCCGCAGUAA